Homo sapiens (human) is the source of this 659-nucleotide long non-coding RNA. RefSeq lists it as uncharacterized. The transcript has 5 exons. NCBI's taxonomy places the organism in Eukaryota, Metazoa, Chordata, Mammalia, Primates, Hominidae. The record is from RefSeq and is a predicted model, not a curated record.
AGGUGAAACGUCAAGAAUGACUAAAAGCCAACAUUCAAGAAGACAGCAUCUGCAAACAAGUGUUGAUCCCAAGUGUAAUCCUAGGGAACCCGACUUAAGGCCUCCCCAUCUGAAGAACACAAUCUCAAGGAAGAAUUUAAGGGGAAACCUGUCUACACAGUUUGACUUUCUGUAAAGAACUGAAAUCAGAACUGGAAGAGGUCUUAGAAAUCAUCUAGUCCGACCACCUCCUUUGACAGAUGAGGAAGAACACAUGUUCCUCCUUAGAUUUCAAUGCUAAUGGGGAAGAAGAAGGUGCCUAAAAACAAGGAGGGAAAAUCAUUCAAGACAUCUCCAGGACAGCUCCACAAAUAGAGGGGCCUCCAAUUGACCAGAGGAAUCUUCAACUCACCUAGAGCAAAGGUUCAGAAGAUGAAAGGGCUUUCACCUCAGCAAAGUGGAACUGAUAUUGUGGGAGAGUUAUUGAGUAAUAGACCCUCAUCCUCACAUCAAACAUCCCUAACCUUGCCAGACACCAGCCUCUCCCAGACAGCUCACUGAAGAAGAGGUCCAACCAAGACCAUGGCUGGAACCUGGAUGCUCUGAACAGGUGAUGGCAACAAUGAGGUCUCUGGGGAGGAGUAAGGAUAUGUGUGUGUGUGUGUGUGUGUGUGUGUGUG